RNAcentral lists this ribosomal RNA (301 nucleotides) under uncultured bacterium. RNAcentral's name for it is "partial 16S ribosomal RNA". It matches the Rfam family "Bacterial small subunit ribosomal RNA", at positions 509 to 807 of the family's 1533-position model. The record is from RNAcentral.
CAGUCGCCACGGUAAUGCGUAGGGGGCAAGCGUUAUCCGGAAUUACUGGGUGUAAAGGGAGCGUAGACGGUUAAACAAGUCUGAAGUGAAAUGCCGGGGCUCAACCCCGGAGCUGCUUUGGGAACUGUAGAACUGGAGUGUCGGAGGGGUAAGCGGAAUUCCCAGUGUAGCGGUGAAAUGCGUAGAUACUGGGAGGAACACCGGCGGCGAAGGCGGCUUACUGGACGACAACUGACGUUGAGGCUCGAAGGCGUGGGUAGCAAACAGGAUUAGAUACCCGCGUAGUCCCUGUCUCUUAUAC